This 5609-nucleotide long non-coding RNA is filed under the name Sus scrofa (pig). RNAcentral's name for it is "lncRNA (ENSSSCG00000054885.1)". Lineage: Eukaryota; Metazoa; Chordata; Mammalia; Artiodactyla; Suidae. The record is from RNAcentral.
GGAAGAGAAGUGGAGAAAUACCAACUUUAUCGUUUUCAAACGAGACAUUCCAAUUGCAUCUUGAAUUCCUCCUCCUCCCUCCUCUUCAGUGGUUUCCUAUCGACCUAUGAGCUCUGCAGGAUCCGCCUCUGUUGACUCUCUGGUCUUUUGGCCUUGCCCACAGCACGUGGAUAUUCCCAGGCCAGGGACUGACCCAUGAUACAGCAGUGAAAACCAGAUCUUUAACCGCUAGCCCACCAGGGAACUCCUCUGGCCUCGUUUUCAGUGUGUACAUUGAUCGCUUCUGUUUCAUUUGUUUGGAAGCCCAAGAUCUUUCCUGCCUGGGAGCUUUUACUCAUCCUUCUCCCCCUUCCCUCUGCUCUUUACCCAGCUGACUCCUACAAAUCCCCCAGAUCUCAGCUGGAAAAAAAUCACCUCCCCAAGAAGAUCCCCUGACUCCCCACAACCCUGUCAAAUGCUCCAGGGCUCUGCACCUUCCCUCCUGGUUCGCAGAGUCAGACACAUCGUGAUCUUUGUUCCCAUGUCGCUCUAAUUCCAUCCAAGCAAUGACACUGGACACUUCGGUAGCCCACAAGGCUUUGUUCACAAUUUCUAUGUGGCCUUUUGAAAUCCUGACAAUAGAACCAGGGUGCCCAGGGCAAGGGUACCCAGAAUUCCCAGAUUAUGGCAGGAUGGAAGGAGGGUCUUAGUGAGGAAAUGCCAGGUGCCUCCCCGGGGGAGUUUAAUCCAAGGGAGAGGACAGAAGAUUCUGCAGGGUUGUUUCCUGGUAUUGUUUGGGCAAAACCAUGGGCGUUGGCCAAUGGCAGGAUGGGGCGCUGGUCCAUGGAGCUCUCUGGAGGGACCAGGGCUAAGCUGCUUUCCUGAGACAGACUCGGUUGUUCUUUUCAUCGUGUUUUGCUUGCACAAAUGACAUUUAAACAGCACUAAAGACAAUGUUUAAAAAGAAAGAGAAGUCACUGGACCCCAUCCAUCUUACACAUCUGAUGUGCUGGAAAGAGGCCUGGGCUUGGAGUCCAGCAUCCCAGGCUUGGCAGCCCUCUUCGCUAGUUCCUGGCUGUGCCGCCUUGGGCAGUCUGUCGCCCCUCUGCCUUAGCUGCCUAAUCUAUAAGGGGGAGCAACUCCUACCUCAUGGGGAAUUAGGGACAGUCAGGGAAUUAAGUGAGACCAGGUAUGUGAAAGCCCUUGGCAUAGUGUCUGGUGCAUGGCAGGUACUCAGAAAAGUUUUUCUUUUUUAUCAAGGCAACUGUUUUCAUUUUCUUGAAAAUUUCAGCCAACUUCUGCCAAGCUUUCAUCAAGUCCAGAUGAACAUUUUGCACUUGUGACCAUGCUUGAAAUUUAAUUUAUUUUGCAGUCUGCUUGUAAACUUGCUGUGUCCUAAGCACUUGUUUCAACAUUUUCAUGAUUAUUUCAUGGUGGAACACCAUGCCACUGAAUCAAUGCAUCAUUAUUUAUGGAACCAUUCUUCUGCUAUUGGACAUUUUUCAGUGUUAUAAAUAAUUCUGUAGAGAAUUCUGUAUUCUAUAGGAUUGUUGCUUUCAUCGGUAUCCCAUCUUUAUUUCUCUUGCUAAAGGUUGAAUAUUCUUCUAUGUUUACUUGUUCUUCUUUCCUCACCUGAGCUGCCUGCUCAUGACCUUUGCCCAGAUUUUUCUUAGUAACACAUAUAUUUUUUAUUGCUGUGCAUGAAAACUUUCCAUCAUGUGGACACUAACCAUUUGUCAUUUUCCCCACUCUCUGGGGACAUUUUAAUUUUAGCUGUUUUCUAAUAGACACGUUUUAAGCAUUUUAUUUUCAGACUUUGCCUUUGUGAUUUCUUGAUUGUGUUCAUGGUGUAUGUAACAAACACCACGUGUGAAACCGGCCCCUGGAGCGGUAUGGGGCGGAAGCAGAGGACACUCCGGUGCCUGAUUUCCAGAAGGUCUCAAUCAAGUUGAGGAUCCAGACAUGAAAACAAUCACAGAAGUGCUAGAAUAGUAAGUGUUGUACGGGCAGUGGUUUGAGCUCUUGCUCAAACCCAUUCUAAGAAUUUGCAUCUACUAUCUCAUGUAAGCCACACAAGAAUGCUGUGACUUAAAUACUUUUUUUUUUUUUAAUGGCAACAUAUGAAAUUCCCUGGCCAGGAAUGGGGCUGGAGCCUCAGAUGCAACCUAUGCCAGAACUGUGGCAAUGCUGGAUCCUUAACCCAUUGCACCAGGCUGGGGAUCAAGCCCAUGCCAUCAGAGAGACAAAUCCAGAUCCUUAACCUGCUGUGCUACAGGGGGAACUCCUCAAAUACUAUUAUUAUCCUCAUUUUAUAGAUGAAAAGAAUGACCCUCAGAAUGAUUGUAAAACUUAGCAAGCACCAAUAGUGAAGAAUAGAGGCCAGUAUUUGAAAAUCAGCUAGUCAGGCUGUAGAGCUUACCUUCUUUUUUUUGGGGGGGGUGGCCCAGGCCAGGGAUCAAACCUGAGCCACUGUGGUGUCAACACUGGCUCCUUAAUUGCUAGGCCACCAGGGAAUUCCAGAGUUUGCCACCUUCUUUAUUUUUUAUUUUUUAAUUAAAAAAAUUUUUUUGUAGAUCUGCAGCCACAGUAUAUGGAAGUUCCCAGGCUAGGAGUCAAAUUAGAGCUGCAUCUACUGGCCUACACCCCAGCCACAGCAAUGCCAGAUCUGAGCUGCAUCUUCAACCUACACGGCAGCUCAUGGCAACACCAGAUCUUAACCCAGUGAGCGAGGCCAGGAUUGAACCUGCAUCUUCACAGAUGCUAUGUCAGGUUCUUAACUCACUGAGCCACAGUGGGAACUCUGGGGCUCUUGAUCUCUUGCCUUGAGGGAUGCAAGGUGGUGGGGUUAUAUAAUUUCAUUAACAUUAUUGUCAUACAAUUCUGUAUCCAUCUCACAGUCAGAAAUAAGCAAGGGGCCAUAGCCUGACCAGACCUGUCCCUGGAAGGGAAGAAGGGGAGAAACAACACAGAGUGUGUGACCUGGAGGAUUUGAGUCAUUGGAGUCCCUCAGGUCUGUGUCUUUUGAAAGAAGGCGGACACAGUGCCCCCGGAAGCCAGGUGUAUGCCCUUGACUUCACCAUUAAGAUGACUGCUGAGGGGAAAAUGGGGCCUUCUGCCUACAAUUCAGGAUCUGCUUUAGUUAUAUCAGUGUCUUAUUCAGAGAGAUAGGACAACUCGCCCAGAGCACAGAUGGCAGAAGAAGUUGAUUGCACAGAAGUGUCCUAUCCACUGGCAGGGCCAGCCUGUUAGCAGCAAAAGACACAAGGUGUUUUUCUCUUGGAUGCAUUUCUUUGCAUUUUCCAAGGCUGGUGGAUCAAUAGCUACACACAGCUCAAAUAAAUUUUUGUUUUGAUUCCUUACCACUCUCAGGAGGGAAGAUGCACCAUUAGAUAACUCGGGUUCCUACCAGGUGCUGCUGCUGUCAGCAACAGCUGUCCAUGGCCUCUUUAGACCCUCAUGACAGCCUCACAAGGUCAGAACUACUAUGCCUAUUUCAGAGAUAUGGAAACUGAGGCUCAGAAAAGGGAUGGGGAAUGUCCUUACCCGGAGUCCUAGAGCUGGUCACUGGCCUGAAGGCCUCUGGGCAUAUAAGCUGUUCGUUAUUGCAAACUAUGUUAUUACCAUGGUCAGUGUCCUGGGCUAAGAGAAAUAAUGAGCCUCAGAGAGGGAAAGUUGCCAUCCCAAGGUCACAGAGCCCGUGAAAGGCAGGGCUGGAGUUAGACUGCAGAGCCUCUGCUAGGACAGCUCGUCCGCCUGGGCUGGUCCACCCGCCGCAUGCCUGCCCCGGAAAGAAUGGAGAAAGGCUGGAGGCAUGGGGAUUUGUGUUUCUCUAAGCAGCCCCUGGAGGGAGAAGCAGGAUCCUUCCUGGUCCAAGGUAUCAAGGGCAUCAAUUCCUGGCUCCGGAAGGGUCUCCUCUCCAAGGCUGCAAUUCUAUUUUUAGCCUUGAAUCCAUCAAUGGAUUGAUGGCAGGGCAGGCAACUCCUGGCUGCUUGAUAUUAAUAAGAAGAGAGAAAAGACCAUUUAUGAAGCAUUUUCUGUGUGCUGGGCUUUAUGCAAAAUGCUUCACAUGGAUUAUCCACUGACAUCUUUACAACAUUCCUAUGAAAUGAGUACCAUUAGCAUCAUCGGUUUAUGAGUAGAGAAAAGAGGCUCGAGGAGGUUAGAGAAUUCCCUUAAGGCCACAUGACUGAUAAGCUGCAGACCCAGGGUCCCGAUGUAGAUCGUAGGCAGGUUGGCGAGACUUAAGAUAAGAAAGACAGCCUGGAAGAGCAUUAUGGGCAGAGGGAACAGGACUGGCAAAGGCAAGGAGGUGCGAAGGACAGGUCUGUUUGCGGAACAGUCAACAGCCUGGUGGGAUCUGGGUUGAGAAGGAAAAGGAGCCCAGAGCAUAGAGCGGGGCAAGAUUCUAUAAGAUCUUGAAUCUCAGGGGGGUUCUGACUUUGGGAUUCUGGAAGGACUGAGGGUGAGAGUGGCAUUGUUGUGUCUGAGCUUUAGAGCAGAGGAUGGAUUUGAGGGAGAGACUGGGAAGAGGGAGACAAAGGACUAUUUCCACUACUAACAGCGAUGAUAGCUUCCAUUUAUUGAGCAUCUACUAUGUGGGUUAGGCGUAGGAGGUGCAUUUUGUAAGUGACCACCUCAUACAGGUAGCAGGUACUCAUUCGAUGGUAGCUGUGUGGAGGGUAUUGUUGUCUCUUUUCCACAGAUGAGAAAACAGAGGUCAAGUGAUGGCCCAGGGCCACUAGGAUUGGAAUCCAGUUCGGGUUGAUUCCAAAGACCCUGAUGCUACCUUGACCAGAUGGGAUGGUGGGUAAUAAAAAUAGUUUCAGGCAAAAGGACAUUUGUCUGAAGCCCAGGAAUGAAGAAGAUAAGGUAGGUUGCAAAGAUGGUGGAGAGAGAAUUUUUAUUUGUUUUUUUAACUUUUAUUUUUUGCCUUUUUAGGGCAGCACCUGAGAUAUAUGGAGGUUCCUAGGCUAAGGGUUGAAUCAGAGCUGUAGCUGCCAGCCUACACCACAGCCACAGCAACCCCAGAUCUGAGUCGCAUAUGCAACCUACGCUGAAACUUGCGGCAACACCAGAUCCUUAACCCAUGGAGCGAGGCCAGGAAUCAAACCCGCAUCCUCAUGGAUACUAGUUUGGUUCUUAACCCACUGAGCCACAACGGGAACUCCCUUGUUUUGUUCUUUAAAUAAGUUUAUUCACACACACGGAGGAUAGUAGUCAUGUCACUAUGGUUACAAAGCUUUUCUGGAGCCGGAACUGGCAAGCAGACUCAGCUGGGGAAAAGGGCAUUGUUUCUGCAGGGCAGUGGCUGGGGAGGGAGGAAAGAGGAAAAGGCAGGGUACAAAGUUCAGUGUGUCCAGCACUCUGAGACACGGUCAGGGGCACAGCCAGGGCGAGGGGUAGGGAGGCCCAGGAGCGAGUGGCCAGAGUGAGUGAAAGAAGGGGUCAGUCUGAGUCUCAGCUGCAUCUGAUAUCUGGCAGCAAAAGUUCCCAGUAGGAAGACUGAAAUAUACCCGCUCCCUGACACACACACCAUAAUGAGGGUAUGUCAAAAUGUCAAAGGAACACAGGAGGCAAUUGAAAGAACUCCCAGUGGCCAAAGCUGGAACAGUUUCAGCAACAAAAUAAAG